Molecule: ribosomal RNA, 410 nt
Filed under: uncultured Prevotella sp.
Lineage: Bacteria; Pseudomonadati; Bacteroidota; Bacteroidia; Bacteroidales; Prevotellaceae
Description: bacterial SSU rRNA
Rfam family: Bacterial small subunit ribosomal RNA
Source: RNAcentral
UGAGGAAUAUUGGUCAAUGGACGUAAGUCUGAACCAGCCAAGUAGCGUGCAGGAUGACGGCCCUAUGGGUUGUAAACUGCUUUUAUGCGGGGAUAAAGUGAGGGAUGCAUCCCUUUUUGUAGGUACCGCAUGAUAAGGACCGGCUAAUUCCGUGCCAGCAGCCGCGGUAAUACGGAAGGUCCGGGCGUUAUCCGGAUUUAUUGGGUUUAAAGGGAGCGUAGGCCGUCGUUUAAGCGUGUUGUGAAAUGCCGCGGCUCAACCGUGGCACUGCAGCGCGAACUGGAUGACUUGAGUGUAUUCGAUGUCAGCGGAAUUUGUGGUGUAGCGGUGAAAUGCUUAGAUAUCACGAAGAACUCCGAUUGCGAAGGCAGCUGACAAGGCUACAACUGACGCUAAAGCUCGAAAGUGCG